Molecule: ribosomal RNA, 660 nt
Filed under: uncultured bacterium
Lineage: Bacteria
Description: bacterial SSU rRNA
Rfam family: Bacterial small subunit ribosomal RNA
Source: RNAcentral
GAAACCUGCCUUGAUGGUACGGGGAUAACUACCUGUCAAACGGUAGCUAAUACCGCAUAACGUCGCAAGACCAAAGAGGGGGACCUUCGGGCCUCUUGCCAUCGGAUGUGCCCAGAUGGGAUUAGCUAGUAGGUGGGGUAACGGCUCACCUAGGCGACGAUCCCUAGCUGGUCUGAGAGGAUGACCAGCCACACUGGAACUGAGACACGGUCCAGACUCCUACGGGAGGCAGCAGUGGGGAAUAUUGCACAAUGGGCGCAAGCCUGAUGCAGCCAUGCCGCGUGUAUGAAGAAGGCCUUCGGGUUGUAAAGUACUUUCAUCCGGGGAGGAAGGUGUUGAGGUUAAUAACCUCAGCAAUUGACGUUACCCGCAGAAGAAGCACCGGCUAACUCCGUGCCAGCAGCCGCGGGUAAUACUGGAGGGUGCAAGCGUUAAUCGGAAUUACUGGGCGUAAAGCGCACGCAGGCGGUCUGUCAAGUCGGAUGUGAAAUCCCCGGGCUCAACCUGGUGAACUGCAUUCUAAACUGGCAGGCUAGAGUCUUGUAGAGGGGGGUAGAAUUCCAGAUGUAUCGGGUGAAAUGCUUAGAGAUCUGGGAGAAUACCGGUGGCGAAGCCGGCCCCCUGGGACCAAAAACCUGACCGCUCAAGGUUGCGAAAGCG